Molecule: non-coding RNA, 231 nt
Organism: Pelobates cultripes (western spadefoot toad)
Lineage: Eukaryota; Metazoa; Chordata; Amphibia; Anura; Pelobatidae
Source: the annotation of a GenBank genome assembly
GUUAAAUAUUGUCUCCCCCACCCCUUUAAAAAUAUGCCAUUGUGUUAUAAUAAGUCACUAUAUGUUGCCUGCUAUGAUUUGGCUGUUUGUAAUUUUAUAGAGUUUUCACAGCAUUGUUAUAUAAUGACCAUAUGGGCUAGUCCCAAGUAAAAUAAAGGUUUAGACAGUUCUGCUUGACCUCAAAACGAAGUGUUGUCUCGUUAUUUGGGGAAUUGGAUUGUAUGCUGAUUG